CAGAGCGUCCCUGAUGAUACAACAAACAGGAAUCAGCAGCAGAGCUGACCACGUGUUCUACCAAAGAGUGAGUGGGGACAGUGGAAGGAGCCACAGAAACCUGGUAACAUGAAGAGGAGGUGCAGGUCUUCCCGGAAGUCCGGCCGACUGAGGCUCUGACUGUGAAUCGUUUGACCUGGCUAGGCUCUCCACCAACACACUGCUCCCUGAUUCAUCUGCUGCCAACCCCUUCAAGUUAUUCAUCUGGAAGAAAUAUGCAUUCAUCAUUGUAUUUUUAAUCACACCAAAUAGAUAGACAAAGAGAAUGCCUUGGGGAGAGGGGGAGCAAUCUACAAUUCCCAGAGCUCAGAUGGUAUUCCUGCCCUGCAUCGCCAAACAUUCCCCAAAUUGACUCUGAAUUAAUUUAUUUUUAAUGUGUGGAAGAUGCUCUGCCACCGAGAAUAGAGAUGGUGUGUCUGUGUUAGUUCAUGUGUGUGUGUGUUUGUGUUCCUCUCUGUCUGCACUGUAAUAGCAUGCUUCUGUGUGCAUUUGCCUGUGAGCCUGUGUGUUUUGUAGCAAUUGCACAUUGUGUAUACAUUUACUUGCUAUCGUGUCUGGAUGCAAGGUGCAAUGUGCACACGUUUUUCUGGACUAUGAGCAAAACAAUGAACAGGGAAGCAAAACUAGAUUGUGACCUAAUCCGGACAUUUUUGUUUCUUAAUAUUGCACCUUAUGAAACAGCAACGUUUCCAGAGUUGCUCUGCUCACAAACCAACUACAAAGACAUUAAAGUCUCCCUCACAAUAAUCCCUCUCU
This is a long non-coding RNA of Platichthys flesus (European flounder), 795 nucleotides long. RefSeq lists it as uncharacterized. Lineage: Eukaryota; Metazoa; Chordata; Actinopteri; Pleuronectiformes; Pleuronectidae. The transcript is spliced from 3 exons. The record is from RefSeq and is a predicted model, not a curated record.